GAUGAAGAACGUAGCGAAAUGCGAUAAGUAAUGUGAAUUGCAGAAUUCAGUGAAUCAUCGAAUCUUUGAACGCACCUUGCGCUCCUUGGCAUUCCGAGGAGCAUGCCUGUUUGAGUGUCAUUAAAUUCUCAAGACCUGUCUGCUUUUUUGAUAGGUAUUGGAGUUUGGGGGUUGCAGGCUGUUUCAAAUAAAUAGCCUUGCUCUCCUUGAAUGUAUUAGUGGAGAAAAGCCAUUGAACUCCAUUGGUGUGAUAAAACCUAUCAAUGCCAGGAGCAAUAUCACUACUUCUCUCUGCUGUCUAACUGUGACUGUCUGUAUUAAUUAGUAUGGAUGGGGACAACUUGACCAACUUGACCUCAAAUCAGGUAGGACUACCCGCUGAACUUAAGCAUAUCAAUAAGCGGAGGA
RNAcentral lists this unclassified non-coding RNA (408 nucleotides) under soil metagenome. Its description in RNAcentral is "partial contains 5.8S ribosomal RNA, internal transcribed spacer 2, and large subunit ribosomal RNA". The stretch from base 1 to 120 matches the Rfam family "5.8S ribosomal RNA", at positions 35 to 154 of the family's 154-position model. The record is from RNAcentral.